AGUGGGGGAACUUCGAGCUGCCAGGGCGUUGUUGGUUGUUGGUGGAGACUCGCUGCAUGUGAAGUUUGGAUGUGCUGUGAGAAUUGCAGAGGCGGACGUGCUACGGAAGUUUCAUUUGAAGACACGUAGGGAAGGUGAGGUUUCAAAUUUCUGAAGGAGGCCCAGUUGUUUCUUGUAAUUUGUAAGACCAGUUUGGCAUACAAUUCAGUGAUUGUGGAAAGGAGUUUGGUGUACAUGAUGGUGGCUUCGGAUAGUCAGCAUAUUUUCCAGCGCAGGCUGUCCAGAGAAUUGGACUGCAGACAUGUUGGCGCGCCCUGCAAUAUUGGGGUUAGCUAAAGGCUGCAAUGACAUACAUGUGCUGCGCUUUGUCUCUAUAGUGUGUGCUUAGUGCACUCUGAUUUUCUAGGUUUGGAUUUACUGAAAAGGGGUUUCAUGCUUUGAAGUAAAUCUAGUGUCAAGGUUAUGGAUACGACAGUGCUCGUGAAAUCCCUAUAGUUCUAAGCUGAAUGUUGGAAUUACGUGUGCAUGUGUUUAUUAUUCUUAAUCCAUGUAUUCUGGGAAUCCACGCUGGAACGUACACCAUCGUAUUGUUUCCUCACCGUUACCUUCAUUUCCUGCAGAAGUUCCGCACUAGCACGACAAACAUUUUGAAAAUGCAUAACUUCACUGAAUUUGUUUUAAAAGUGAGUUUCCAGUUUAUUGUUUCACACGGACCUUGCAUGCAUUUUUGUACUGUAGUGGCACUUCAGUCGUUGAGUGUUUAGGUGGAUGCUAUCAUUGUUCUUCCUGCUUCCGUAAAUCAUUUUUUUUAAGGUUUUUUUUAUUUAUAGAUACGGUCAUAAAAAGUUUGACAUAUGUACAAUUGUCUUCAAGUGAAUCGUGGCAUUAUUAUUUCAAAUUGCUAGAACUUUUAAUAGAAUGUAGAUGUUUACAAUUUGUAGAAGGUGUUACAAAUAUGUCAGAAUUAUUGCAUUUUGGUAUGAU
RNAcentral lists this long non-coding RNA (984 nucleotides) under Physcomitrium patens. RNAcentral's name for it is "long non-coding RNA (PPAT_LNC008042)". Lineage: Eukaryota; Viridiplantae; Streptophyta; Bryopsida; Funariales; Funariaceae. The record is from RNAcentral.